This is an RNA transcript of Mus musculus (house mouse), 5401 nucleotides long. It is a transcript of the gene named phosphodiesterase 3B, cGMP-inhibited, with no coding region annotated. The transcript is spliced from 17 exons. Lineage: Eukaryota; Metazoa; Chordata; Mammalia; Rodentia; Muridae. The record is from RefSeq and is marked validated.
GAGCGCGCGGGGCCGCCGGCGGGGCGCGCGCCCGGCAGGGGCAGCCGCGGGGGAGGAGCGCCCGAUCGCGCGCCCAACGGACCAGGCUGCGGCCGUGAGGUAACUGUUGCAGCGCGCGGGAGCUGGGAGGCGACGCCGCCGUCUCCCGUCCCGAGCCGCGCUUGAGGGAAAAGGGAAGAGGCGUCCGCGGCGGUCCCGGGACACCAAGAAGCCCUUCUCGCCGCUCUCAGUGGCCGGCAUGAGGCGGACGCCGCCGCCCCUCAGCCCGCGCGCCGGGGAUCCCGGCCGGUGGCGGCGGCGGGCGCAGCCGUGACCGCUCUGCGAAGCUCGGGGCGCCCAGAACGCGGAGGGCGGCGCGGGGUCGGCAAGCGCCAGCGGCCCCCCGGCGGCCCGGGGCCAUGAGGAAAGACGAGCGCGAGCGGGACGCGCCAGCCAUGAGGUCCCCGCCGCCGCCGCCAGCCUCGGCCGCCUCGCCCCCCGAGAGCCUGCGCAACGGCUACGUGAAGAGCUGCGUGAGCCCGCUGCGGCAGGACCCUCCGCGCAGCUUCUUCUUCCACCUCUGCCGCUUCUGCAACGUGGAGCCGCCGGCGGCCUCGCUCCGCGCCGGGGCACGCCUCUCGCUCGGCGUCCUGGCCGCCUUUGUCCUGGCCGCGCUGCUGGGCGCGAGGCCCGAGCGCUGGGCGGCCGCGGCAGCCGGGCUCCGGACGCUGCUGAGCGCCUGCUCGCUCAGCCUCAGCCCGCUCUUCAGCAUCGCCUGUGCCUUCUUCUUCCUCACCUGUUUCCUGACGCGCGCGCAGCGCGGCCCGGGCCGCGGCGCCGGCUCCUGGUGGCUGCUGGCGCUGCCCGCCUGCUGCUACCUGGGCGACUUCGCGGCGUGGCAGUGGUGGUCGUGGCUGCGUGGGGAGCCGGCGGCGGCGGGCCGGCUCUGCCUGGUGCUGAGCUGCGUGGGGCUGCUGACGCUCGCGCCCCGCGUGAGGCUGCGGCACGGCGUCCUGGUGCUGCUCUUCGCCGGCCUGGUGUGGUGGGUGUCCUUCUCCGGCCUCGGGGCUCUGCCGCCCGCGCUCAGGCCUCUGCUGUCGUGCCUGGUCGGGGGCGCGGGAUGCCUGCUAGCCCUGGGCUUGGACCACUUCUUUCACGUCCGGGGAGCCUCCCCUCCGCCGCGCUCGGCGAGUACCGCGGAGGAAAAAGUGCCUGUGAUCAGACCCCGGAGGAGGUCCAGCUGCGUGUCGCUGGGAGAAAGCGCAGCCGGUUACUAUGGCAGUGGCAAGAUGUUCAGGAGACCGUCGUUGCCUUGUAUUUCCCGAGAACAGAUGAUCCUCUGGGACUGGGACUUGAAGCAGUGGUGUAAACCUCAUUACCAGAAUUCUGGAGGUGGAAAUGGAGUUGAUCUUUCAGUGCUAAAUGAAGCUCGCAAUAUGGUGUCAGACCUGCUGAUUGACCCAAGCCUUCCCCCACAAGUCAUUUCUUCUCUGCGGAGUAUCAGUAGCUUGAUGGGUGCUUUCUCAGGUUCCUGUAGGCCAAAGAUUAAUUCUUUUACACCAUUUCCUGGAUUUUAUCCCUGCUCUGAAGUAGAAGAUCCAGUUGAGAAAGGAGAUCGAAAACUUCACAAGGGAUUGAGUGGCAGAACCAGUUUCCCAACUCCACAGCUGAGGAGGAGCUCUGGAGCCUCAUCGUUGCUGACUAAUGAGCACUGUUCAAGGUGGGAUCGCAGCAGUGGUAAGAGGUCUUACCAAGAACUCAGUGUUUCAAGUCAUGGAUGCCACCUAAAUGGGCCUUUUAGUUCAAAUCUUUUUACAAUUCCAAAGCAGAGGUCAUCGUCUGUGUCACUGACGCACCAUGCAGGUCUGAGAAGAGCUGGUGCUUUGCCCAGCCACAGUCUUCUGAAUUCUUCAAGCCAUGUACCAGUGUCUGCUGGCUCUCUAACUAAUCGAUCACCCAUAGGAUUUCCUGAUACCACUGAUUUUCUUACUAAGCCAAAUAUUAUUUUACAUAGAUCACUGGGCAGUGUAUCAAGUGCAGCAGAUUUCCAUCAGUACCUUAGGAACUCUGACAGCAAUCUGUGUAGCAGCUGUGGACACCAAAUACUCAAAUAUGUUUCAACAUGUGAACCCGAUGGUACAGACCACCCCAGUGAAAAAUCAGCUGUGCCCCUAAGGUGAAGAAGACAGCAGUGUUUUCUCAAAAGAACCAUUGAACAUUGUGGAAACCCAAGAAGAAGAGACCAUGAAGAAAGCCUGCAGGGAGUUAUUUUUGGAAGGUGAUAGUCACCUGAUGGAAGAGGCACAGCAACCAAAUAUCGAUCAGGAAGUGUCACUGGAUCCAAUGUUAGUAGAAGAUUAUGAUUCAUUAAUAGAAAAGAUGAACAACUGGAAUUUUCAGAUUUUUGAGCUUGUAGAAAAGAUGGGAGAAAAAUCAGGAAGGAUUCUCAGUCAGGUUAUGUAUACUUUAUUUCAAGAUACUGGUUUAUUGGAAACAUUUAAAAUUCCCACUCAAGAAUUUAUGAAUUAUUUUCGUGCCUUAGAAAAUGGCUACCGGGACAUUCCAUAUCACAAUCGUGUGCAUGCCACAGAUGUCCUACAUGCUGUUUGGUAUUUGACAACCCGACCAAUUCCUGGCUUACCUCAGAUCCAUAAUAACCAUGAAACGGAAACCAAAGCAGAUUCAGAUGGUAGACUUGGUUCUGGACAGAUUGCUUACAUUUCUUCGAAGAGUUGCUGUAUUCCAGAUAUGAGUUAUGGCUGCCUAUCUUCAAACAUCCCUGCAUUAGAAUUGAUGGCUUUGUAUGUGGCAGCUGCCAUGCACGAUUACGAUCACCCAGGAAGAACAAAUGCGUUUCUAGUGGCUACAAAUGCACCUCAGGCAGUUUUAUACAAUGACAGAUCUGUUCUAGAGAAUCAUCAUGCUGCAUCAGCUUGGAAUCUGUAUCUUUCUCGCCCAGAGUACAACUUCCUCCUUAACCUUGAUCACAUGGAAUUCAAGCGGUUUCGAUUUUUAGUUAUAGAAGCAAUCCUUGCUACAGAUCUCAAAAAACAUUUUGAUUUCCUUGCAGAAUUCAAUGCCAAGGCCAAUGAUGUAAAUAGUAACGGUAUAGAAUGGAGCAGUGAAAACGAUCGCCUCUUGGUCUGCCAGGUGUGCAUCAAAUUAGCAGAUAUCAAUGGCCCAGCAAAAGAUCGGGACCUACAUUUGAGAUGGACAGAAGGCAUUGUGAAUGAAUUUUAUGAGCAGGGAGAUGAAGAAGCAACCCUGGGUCUACCUAUUAGUCCCUUCAUGGAUCGUUCUUCUCCUCAACUAGCAAAACUCCAAGAAUCUUUUAUCACCCACAUUGUGGGCCCCCUGUGCAACUCCUAUGAUGCUGCUGGCUUGCUGCCGGGUCAGUGGAUAGAAACAGAAGAGGGUGAUGAUACAGAAAGUGAUGAUGAUGAUGAUGAUGAUGAUGGUGGUGGUGAAGAAUUAGAUUCAGAUGAUGAAGAAACAGAAGACAAUCUAAAUCCUAAACCACAAAGAAGGAAAGGCAGGCGGCGAAUAUUUUGCCAACUAAUGCACCACCUCACUGAAAACCACAAGAUAUGGAAGGAAAUCAUAGAAGAAGAAGAAGAAAAAUGUAAAGCUGAGGGGAACAAACUGCAGGUGGAUAAUGCCUCCUUACCUCAGGCAGAUGAGAUUCAGGUUAUUGAAGAAGCAGAUGAAGAGGAAGAACAAAUGUUUGAAUGAGAAGAGAACUCAUGCUGAAGGAGCCUGGGGUGCUGUUCCCAGGGUCAUUACCUAAUGCUCACUGUACUGAUUCUCAACUGACCAUUCCCAUGUGGGCACGCCUUAAUACUGUGAGAGGAUCCUGGCUACCCUGGCAGUUCUCACUCCUAAGCACUUUCAUUACAAACAAGAAACUGAUUCUUAGAGCUUGCUGCAGUUGACUCAUGCUGCAAAGCCUUCCUCAAAGCCUUCACUGGUGUGUAAAUAGUGUGUCAUAAUGCUGCUUUGCUGGGUAGUGAGCUCUUAUUUCUCAUGAUGAGGGAGGGAAGGCUAAAACUGAAAAGUCAAGUGACUUCGGUUUUUGAAGUAACCAUAUUUCUUUUAUGAAAACAGGAUUCAUCUUGUAUUUCCAAAUAUAUCUUUUAUGUCUUUGUUUGGGGGUGGGGUGGUGCAAGAAACAGACCUCUAUGCUUAAUACAAAAAUGAAUUCAUGGUGGCCUUUCUGAGUGAUUUCUGCUCGUGGCAGCACACUGUUCAGUGUGGUUCUCCUGGCUUCAUCGAGGAAGGACUGAGGACCUUUGUUAUACUUAGCAAAACCCAGAUGCAUCAAUUUCUGAUGCUUUUUAUUGUUGUGUAUAAUCUAUUUACUUGUUUUAUUUCUGCCUAAAGUAUUCAGGUUUGCUGUGGACAUCAGAGGUCUGAAUUCUGUUCUUACUGAUUUUGUUCCAUGGUUGAAUUUAAAAGUAUAUAAUAAUGAAGGAGCUUUAUUCUUUAUUCAAAUCUGUUCUUAUUCUUAUUCUUUCUCAGGAUAAGUAAUUUUAAACAAUUAUUAUAAAUAUUGCAUAGAUUUGCCAGAGAAAAAAACAUUGUCCUGAUAUUGAUGUUAUCUUUUAUGAAAUGAGCACCAUUUUAUUUUAAUUAGAGUCAAGAAAAAGGAGCUGGCCAUCUUUUGCCUUAAUGGAAAAUCAAUGAAACCAAUCCCAUCGAAGAUAUUGCCUAAAUAUUUAGUUAUCUUUAGAUAUAUGUCUUAGGUGUCUAGUAAAAUUGACAUUUUUUAUUGUUAAUAUCUUUCUGCUUCAAGAGUACAUGGCAGAGAUGACACAUCACUAUUUAGUAAUAUUACAGCCCCACAGACAGAAUUUUGAAGUAAAGUACAUAAUGGGAAUGCAUAUUAAUUUUUAAUAAAGUGCUAUAAAAUAAAUAUGCUAUGAAUAGUUCAAUAAAUAAUUCCAUAAAUGCUUAUAAAUAAAUAAUUUACUAAGAAAACAGGACACAUUUAUGUUUAUAUAAUCUCAUUAGAGUGUGGCUAUGUGCCCCAGUUGUGAAAAAUUAUUGAAGUUAUACAAAGCAACCAAAAUAAUACCAAAAUGGUAAACUGGUUUCUUCUUAUCCUUUAUACAUUAUUUUGAAGCCAUUGAACUUUGUGCACAGUUAACUGUCAGUUUCCACAGUAUUUCCUAUAUAGUGUGAUGCUGGAAUUUCUUACCUACCUAAGAUAUUUGGGUUGUCUACAAGGCCACAGUUAAAGAUUGAUUGGAGUACUGGUAUUUUUGAUCCUGUAGGUACCAUAUUUAAUGAAUCACUACACUUUAUUUAUUAAACAUGUUGAGUGCUGAGUUCCUUCCUGUCACUUUUGCUACCACAACUACAUCAUUUGUAAACUGGUCCCACCAUAUAUUACUAAGUAAUAAAAUUUUAACUGAUAAUCUAU